CGGGGUGUGGCGCAGAUUGGUAGCGCGCUCCGUUCGGGUCGGAGAGGUCAUCGGUUCAAAUCCGGUCACCCCGACUA
RNAcentral lists this transfer RNA (77 nucleotides) under Chloroflexota bacterium. RNAcentral describes it as "Chloroflexi bacterium (Noosa River metagenome) tRNA-Pro". It matches the Rfam family "tRNA". Rfam says of the family: Transfer RNA (tRNA) molecules are approximately 80 nucleotides in length. Their secondary structure includes four short double-helical elements and three loops (D, anti-codon, and T loops). Further hydrogen bonds mediate the characteristic L-shaped molecular structure. tRNAs have two regions of fundamental functional importance: the anti-codon, which is responsible for specific mRNA codon recognition, and the 3' end, to which the tRNAs corresponding amino acid is attached (by aminoacyl-tRNA synthetases). tRNAs cope with the degeneracy of the genetic code in two manners: having more than one tRNA (with a specific anti-codon) for a particular amino acid; and 'wobble' base-pairing, i.e. permitting non-standard base-pairing at the 3rd anti-codon position. The record is from RNAcentral. Lineage: Bacteria; Bacillati; Chloroflexota.